This 212-nucleotide ribosomal RNA is filed under the name uncultured Ruminococcus sp. RNAcentral's name for it is "partial 16S ribosomal RNA". Lineage: Bacteria; Bacillati; Bacillota; Clostridia; Eubacteriales; Oscillospiraceae. The record is from RNAcentral.
GGAGUCUGGGCCGUGUCUCAGUCCCAAUGUGGCCGUUCAACCUCUCAGUCCGGCUACUGAUCGUCGGCUUGGUGAGCCGUUACCUCACCAACUACCUAAUCAGACGCGAGCUCAUCUUUCAGCGAUAAAUCUUUGAUAACAAGAUCAUGCGGUCUCGUUAUGUUAUGCGGUAUUAUCAGUCGUUUCCAACUGCUAUCCCCUCUGAAGGAACG